Long non-coding RNA from Etheostoma spectabile (orangethroat darter), 101 nucleotides. RefSeq lists it as uncharacterized. The transcript is spliced from 3 exons. The record is from RefSeq and is a predicted model, not a curated record. NCBI's taxonomy places the organism in Eukaryota, Metazoa, Chordata, Actinopteri, Perciformes, Percidae.
UUGAAAAAAUGUAAAUGUUAUUUUUUUGACAUAAUUUGGCGGCCUCCCUGCACUAACUCUGGGACCCCCAAGGGGGUCACGGACCCCCUGUUGAUAAUCUC